Molecule: ribosomal RNA, 309 nt
Filed under: uncultured soil bacterium
Lineage: Bacteria
Description: bacterial SSU rRNA
Rfam family: Bacterial small subunit ribosomal RNA
Source: RNAcentral
AGAUUGAACGCUGGCGGCAUGCUUUACACAUGCAAGUCGAACGGUAACAGGCCGCAAGGUGCUGACGAGUGGCGAACGGGUGAGUAAUGCAUCGGAACGUGCCCAGUCGUGGGGGAUAACGCAGCGAAAGCUGUGCUAAUACCGCAUACGAUCUAUGGAUGAAAGCGGGGGACCGAAAGGCCUCGCGCGAUUGGAGCGGCCGAUGUCAGAUUAGCUAGUUGGCGGGGUAAAGGCCCACCAAGGCGACGAUCUGUAGCUGGUCUGAGAGGGACGACCAGCCACACUGGAACCUGAGACACGGUCCAGACU